RNAcentral lists this ribosomal RNA (501 nucleotides) under uncultured bacterium. RNAcentral describes it as "partial 16S ribosomal RNA". It matches the Rfam family "Bacterial small subunit ribosomal RNA", at positions 30 to 523 of the family's 1533-position model. The record is from RNAcentral.
AUUGAACGCUGGCGGCAGGCUUAACACAUGCAAGUCGAGCGGGGGAAGGUAGCUUGCUACCGGACCUAGCGGCGGACGGGUGAGUAAUGCUUAGGAAUCUGCCUAUUAGUGGGGGACAACAUCUCGAAAGGGAUGCUAAUACCGCAUACGUCCUAUGGGAGAAAGCAGGGGAUCUUCGGACCUUGCGCUAAUAGAUGAGCCUAAGUCGGAUUAGCUAGUUGGUGGGGUAAAGGCCUACCAAGGCGACGAUCUGUAGCGGGUCUGAGAGGAUGAUCCGCCACCCUGGGACUGAGGAACGGCCCAGACUCCUACGGGAGGCAGCAGUGGGGAAUAUUGGACAAUGGGGGGAACCCUGAUCUAGCCAUGCCGCGUGUGUGAAGAAGGCCUUAUGGUUGUAAAGCACUUUAAGCGAGGAGGAGGCUACUUUAGUUAAUACCCAGAGAUAGUGGACGUUACUCGCAGAAUAAGCACCGGCUAACUCUGUGCCAGCCGCCGCCGUAA